AGUGAACGCUGGCGGUAGGCCUAACACAUGCAAGUCGAACGGCAGCACAGUAAGAGCUUGCUCUUACGGGUGGCGAGUGGCGGACGGGUGAGGAAUACAUCGGAAUCUACUUUUUCGUGGGGGAUAACGUAGGGAAACUUACGCUAAUACCGCAUACGACCUACGGGUGAAAGCAGGGGAUCUUCGGACCUUGCGCGAUUGAAUGAGCCGAUAUCGGAUUAGCUAGUUGGCGGGGUAAAGGCCCACCAAGGCGACGAUCCGUAGCUGGUCUGAGAGGAUGAUCAGCCACACUGGAACUGAGACACGGUCCAGACUCCUACGGGAGGCAGCAGUGGGGAAUAUUGGACAAUGGGCGCAAGCCUGAUCCAGCCAUACCGCGUGGGUGAAGAAGGCCUUCGGGUCGUAAAGCCCUUUUGUUGGGAAAGAAAAGCAGCAGGUUAAUACCCCGCUGUUCUGACGGUACCCAAAGAAUAAGCACCGGCUAACUUCGUG
This 492-nucleotide ribosomal RNA is filed under the name uncultured bacterium. RNAcentral describes it as "partial 16S ribosomal RNA". It matches the Rfam family "Bacterial small subunit ribosomal RNA", at positions 29 to 507 of the family's 1533-position model. The record is from RNAcentral.